AAAAAAAAUCAAAAGAAUGUUGUUUUUAGAAUUAAUUAAAUCAGUAACUAAAUUAAGGAUAAAGUUCCAACUUCUGCAGAGACAAAUGAUCUCUAAUCUACCUCAUGAAUAUUACCUUGAGAACAGGCUCAAUCUUGCCAGUACCAAUUCUGCUGACAGAUCUCUUGUUUGCAUGCUAAAUUCUAAAGCAAAUAAAAUUUGUUGAGAUCUCUUAGAAGACUCUAAAUCUUAAGAUUAAUUGCUUUCUUUUUUUUUCAAAGGUUUGCAACAUCUACUUUCAACAUUUGAAGCAGUUAUCUCUCAUAGUAGAAAUAUUUCUUUCCAAUCGCAAAGCAGAGUGCAAGGAAAAGCAAUUCUAUUCCAGGGAUGAGAUUUUCAAGUACAAGUGUGGUUCAAUCCAUCAGUAUUUCCCUGAAACCGAGCCUUUCAGGCUGCUGAAGUAGACAAAUCUGAUGUGUGGUUGGUACUCGGUUCCACCUCUUGCAUGAAAUAUGUCUGGCAUAGAAGGAGACUGGAAACCUCUAAAAACCUGUCUUCCUCCAUUGUCACCUUAGCAAUGCUCACUAAAUGCAAAGCCUAGUGGGUCUAUUUGGGUCUCUAAAUAUAUUAUUGUUGAAUGAAAAAAAAUAAAAAAAGAAGAAGGAUGUGACUACUCUUAAAAUAUGGAAACAAUUUUUAUAUUAUAAAAUACGUAUAAGGGAGAAAGCAGAGAGAGUCCAGGCUGAACAUGGCUGGCAGAAUAAAACAGACCAACAGACAAGAGAUGGGAAAAGCAAGAGCAUAUGACAGGAGACACCAUCCAAGUGAAGAGGCUCAGGCAGAAAACGUUUAGGGAAGGAAUGAGGCAUCCCAUUGUGACAGGAGGGACAUCAAUAAAAACAGAAGAGCAAAACCCAAUGUCAUGCUAAAUAGUCUUUCAUUCUGUUUCAAAUAAACCAAGAGAGGUGUAGGAGCACUGUACUCUGAAGUCUCAAUGUCUUUUAUUGCUUCCCCAAUCAGAAAGUAUGGCCAGCACCUGUAAUUAAAUAUAAAGAAUUUGGUUUUCAGCACUUAUUUGGACAAAAAGAAGAAUAUGAAGGCACUGUUCAAACAAUAUACAUCUACCUCAACAACCAAGCCUUAUCAUCUGGUGAUUAUGAGAGAGAAAAUAUGCCAAGAAGUCUAGACACUGAGAGCUCAGCAUAUUCACACACAGAGACAGUUACACUUUUCAGGGUACAUUAGCCAUUAUGAGUUUUAGGUUUCUUUCUGUGGCCAGAUAUCAAAUUAAUGUGCAAUUUUUCUAUUCUAAAGGACAUUUGAUAUUAAAAGAAAUAAGCCUGGCUGAUUCAGAACAGAACAUUUACAGCUCAAAACAGAAACGAUAAAGUAAAGAUCAUUUGUUUCAUUGCUGUGUUUUUAGCACAUCAUGUAAUAAAAUUAUCA
Non-coding RNA from Rattus norvegicus (Norway rat), 1425 nucleotides. The record is from RefSeq and is a predicted model, not a curated record. NCBI's taxonomy places the organism in Eukaryota, Metazoa, Chordata, Mammalia, Rodentia, Muridae.